AUACGUAGGGGGCGAGCGUUGUCCGGAAUGAUUGGGCGUAAAGGGCGCGUAGGCGGCCCGGUAAGUCUGGAGUGAAAGUCCUGUUUUUAAGAUGGGAAUUGCUUUGGAUACUGUCGGGCUUGAGUGCGGGAGAGGUAAGUGGAAUUCCCAGUGUAGCGGUGAAAUGCGUAGAGAUUGGGAGGAACACCAGUGGCGAAGGCGACUGACUGGACUGUAACUGACGCUUAGGCGCGAAAGUGUGGGGAGCAAACAGGAUUAGAUACCCUGGUAGUCCACACUGUAAACGAUGAAUGCUAGGUGUAGGGGGUAUCGACCCCUUCUGUGCCGCAGUCAACACAAUAAGCAUUCCGCCUGGGGAGUACGGCCGCAAGGUUGAAACUCAAAUAAAUUGACGGGG
This 397-nucleotide ribosomal RNA is filed under the name uncultured bacterium. RNAcentral's name for it is "partial 16S ribosomal RNA". It matches the Rfam family "Bacterial small subunit ribosomal RNA", at positions 523 to 918 of the family's 1533-position model. The record is from RNAcentral.